ACGGAGUUAUCGAGUGCCACGUCA
This 24-nucleotide non-coding RNA is filed under the name Arabidopsis thaliana (thale cress). The record is from RNAcentral. Lineage: Eukaryota; Viridiplantae; Streptophyta; Magnoliopsida; Brassicales; Brassicaceae.